Molecule: ribosomal RNA, 684 nt
Filed under: uncultured Staphylococcus sp.
Lineage: Bacteria; Bacillati; Bacillota; Bacilli; Caryophanales; Staphylococcaceae
Description: bacterial SSU rRNA
Rfam family: Bacterial small subunit ribosomal RNA
Source: RNAcentral
CGAGCGAACAGACGAGGAGCUUGCUCCUCUGACGUUAGCGGCGGACGGGUGAGUAACACGUGGAUAACCUACCUAUAAGACUGGGAUAACUUCGGGAAACCGGAGCUAAUACCGGAUAAUAUAUUGAACCGCAUGGUUCAAUAGUGAAAGACGGUUUUGCUGUCACUUAUAGAUGGAUCCGCGCCGCAUUAGCUAGUUGGUAAGGUAACGGCUUACCAAGGCAACGAUGCGUAGCCGACCCGAGAGGGUGAUCGGCCACACUGGAACUGAGACACGGUCCAGACUCCUACGGGAGGCAGCAGUAGGGAAUCUUCCGCAAUGGGCGAAAGCCUGACGGAGCAACGCCGCGUGAGUGAUGAAGGUCUUCGGAUCGUAAAACUCUGUUAUUAGGGAAGAACAAAUGUGUAAGUAACUAUGCACGUCUUGACGGUACCUAAUCAGAAAGCCACGGCUAACUACGUGCCAGCAGCCGCGGUAAUACGUAGGUGGCAAGCGUUAUCCGGAAUUAUUGGGCGUAAAGCGCGCGUAGGCGGUUUUUUAAGUCUGAUGUGAAAGCCCACGGCUCAACCGUGGAGGGUCAUUGGAAACUGGAAAACUUGAGUGCAGAAGAGGAAAGUGGAAUUCCAUGUGUAGCGGUGAAAUGCGCAGAGAUAUGGAGGAACACCAGUGGCGAAGGCGACUUUC